AUCUGUUGUGUGAACCUGGAGCUGUGUCAACGUGUGGUCUAAGCUGUGCUAUUUGGCCGUUUUAGCUUUUCUAUGACAGCUUGGUGUGGAUUGCAUAGCCUUCUGUUGGAGAGACAGUGAAGGUGCUGCGUGGAAGAUGUAAACUUCUGACCACAACUGUAAAUGAUCCACAUAUGUUAGAAAUGAAUAAAAGAGAAAAGAUCUCCAUCUUCACCUACACCAGCAUCUAGACUCUGGUGGGUCCUGUUCUUAAUCCAGUCACUGCUGGGAUUCUGUUCUGCCGUGAUAAGUCACUGGAGUCUAAACACCAAAUACAAUGAUUAAUUCUUUAUCUCAAUAAGUCAUGUUUGAGUAAUUUCAAAUGCUCUUUCCUUACUGGAAUAUAGUGUUCGGGGAACUAACAUUAAUGAACCUAACAAUAUCCAACCAGCUGUAUAUGUUACAGAGACGGAGUGCAUACCCUCACAUAUGAACAAAAUUCAUGGCUCACCAUUGACUUGUGUUGUAUGAGUGGGCAUAAUUGUCUGCUUGAAAAACUGAUCGAUCCAUCCUGAUCCCCGGCAACCUCCUCCAACUCAUCCAGGACAGACACCCAGAUGUUCAUGUGCCUGAAGUGCCCAGGAGACAUCCUGAUCAGUUGCCUGAAGCAGAUUAACUUGCACACAUAAUUCCCCCUGGAAUGAUCAAGCGCUCCACCCCACUCCAACACAGAAGUCAGACAUCUCCAGAGGAAGUCUAUGGCUGCUGGCUGCAUCCACAAUUCCAUUCCUUUGGUGCCUACCCAAAACUCAUGUCGGGAAUCUUCCUCACCUGUUGUCUGCAUCAAUAUACCACUAGACAAAUCCAUGCACCCAUCUCUUGCUCUUCUAUCCAAAUUUUAGUUUUAGGCUACUAGAUAGCCCUGUGACAGACUGGUGAUCUGUCCAGGCUGUACUUCUUGCCCCAUUGCACCUGGGAUAGGCCCCAACCACAUCCCAUGACCCUGAAAUGGAUAAGUGGAAGAGAAUGGAUGGAUACUACAUUUCUCUAAGUUAAACUAAAGCGUUUUAAUGUAGCUUUUGAAAUUUUAUGAGUAGUCAAAUAAUUCUUUCACACU
Molecule: long non-coding RNA, 1096 nt
Organism: Oreochromis aureus
Lineage: Eukaryota; Metazoa; Chordata; Actinopteri; Cichliformes; Cichlidae
Source: Ensembl